This 468-nucleotide ribosomal RNA is filed under the name uncultured bacterium. Its description in RNAcentral is "partial 16S ribosomal RNA". It matches the Rfam family "Bacterial small subunit ribosomal RNA", at positions 28 to 507 of the family's 1533-position model. The record is from RNAcentral.
GACGAACGCUGGCGGCGUGCCUAACACAUGCAAGUCGAACGGAAAGGCCCUGCUUUUGUGCGGCGCUCGUGUGGCGAACGGGUGAGUAACACGUGAGUAACCCGUACCUGUCUUUGGGGUAUCUUCAGGAAACAGGGGCUCUUAUAGGAUAGGAGCUCUUGCUGCAUGGUGGGCGUUGGUAAGUUUCGGCGGUUGGGGAUGGACUGGCGGCUUAUCGGCUUGAUGGUGGGGUAGUGGCUUACCAAGUUUUUGACGGGUAGCCGGCCUGGGAGGGCGACCGGCCACAAGGGGACUGAGAUAGGGCCCAGACGGGAACGGGAGGCAACGGGGGAGAGUAUGACACAGUAGGGGGGAGCCAGAGACGACAGCGCCGCGUGCGGGAAGACGUGUUACGAGUGGUAAACCACUGUCUCCUGAGACGAGGCGGUAGUGACGGUAAUGGGUAAAGAAGCACCGGCUAACUACGUG